This 73-nucleotide transfer RNA is filed under the name Lingula anatina. It matches the Rfam family "tRNA". Rfam says of the family: Transfer RNA (tRNA) molecules are approximately 80 nucleotides in length. Their secondary structure includes four short double-helical elements and three loops (D, anti-codon, and T loops). Lineage: Eukaryota; Metazoa; Brachiopoda; Lingulata; Lingulida; Lingulidae. The record is from Rfam by way of RNAcentral.
GGGGAUCUAGCUCAAAUGGUAGAGCACUCGCUUAGCAUGUGAGAGGUACUGGGAUCAAUGCCCAGGUUCUCCA